Molecule: ribosomal RNA, 252 nt
Filed under: uncultured bacterium
Lineage: Bacteria
Description: partial 16S ribosomal RNA
Rfam family: Bacterial small subunit ribosomal RNA
Source: RNAcentral
UACGUAGGGUGCGAGCGUUGUCCGGAAUUAUUGGGCGUAAAGAGCUCGUAGGCGGCUUGUCGCGUCGGAUGUGAAAGCCCGGGGCUUAACUCCGGGUCUGCAUUCGAUACGGGCAGGCUAGAGUUCGGUAGGGGAGAUCGGAAUUCCUGGUGUAGCGGUGAAAUGCGCAGAUAUCAGGAGGAACACCGGUGGCGAAGGCGGAUCUCUGGGCCGAUACUGACGCUGAGGAGCGAAAGCGUGGGAGCGAACAGG